UGGAAAGUGUUCUCAUCUGUGCUCUGUUCUAGAUGAGGGUGCUGGGAAGGCUUCUCCAUCAACUAGGAGUAAGAAAUUUUUGAAGCCUUUGGAGCCUCCUGCAGAUGUGUCUACAGGGAGGACUUCUCCAGCUUCUCCAGCUCCUACCUUGGAUGCUAUGCGCAAGCCCAGCUCCCAUCACAGGGUUACUCCAACAGGGAAAGUGCAAGAUACAACAGACAAGAUGUCCCUGCAACCAUCCAAACAGAUGAGGCAAGAGCUAAAGGAACCCCUGCAGACAAGAGAAGAGAUGGACAUAGUGCUUCAGUGGAAGUUGGCAUUUCUUGAAGAAAGCACUCCAUCUUCGGUGCCAGCCCCUGCUGCAGGAAAGAAGGCAAAGCCAGACACGGGCACAGGCACAGCAG
This is a long non-coding RNA of Passer domesticus (house sparrow), 404 nucleotides long. RefSeq lists it as uncharacterized. Lineage: Eukaryota; Metazoa; Chordata; Aves; Passeriformes; Passeridae. The transcript is spliced from 4 exons. The record is from RefSeq and is a predicted model, not a curated record.